CACAGAGGUGGCUCAAGUCCCCUUCCUCACAGGAGUCUGGAAGGCUACUGCAUAGAGUUUGCCUUAGUAGAAAAUGGACCAUUUUUGAAGCCUAGGUCCCUGCAGGCCUCCUGGCUAACUCGGCUGUCAAAGCCCCUUUUCUCUGCUUUCUGAGCUGUGUCCAGGGCUGAGUGGGUGCUCCCUCUGUUCCUCUGCUUUCUGAGCUGUGUCCAGGGCUGAGUGGGUGCUCCCUCUAUUUCUCCGCUUUCUGAGCUGUGUCCGGGGCUCCCUCUGUUUCUCUUCCAGCCACCAGAGGACCUUCGUUCUGGAGGUGAUGGGACGACACUGUGGGUACGUACCUGCGGUGGGUCCGGUGGACGUGGUUCAGGUGGGGGACCCUUAGCAUCAUCUCCCUGAGGCUGCACACCACAUCCUGAAUGCUCCCGUGGAGAGUCCUGGAGGGGCUGGCGUCCCGCUUCAUACCUGGCAUUAGGUACCUGGCCCUGGUGAGUGCCUUGGCCUGCGGUGCAGACUGGGUGUUCCUUCCAGAAUCUCCGCCAGAGGAAGGCUGGGAGGAGCAGAUGUGUGUCAAACUCUCGGAGAACCGUGCCCGGAAAAAAAG
Molecule: small RNA, 601 nt
Filed under: Pongo abelii (Sumatran orangutan)
Lineage: Eukaryota; Metazoa; Chordata; Mammalia; Primates; Hominidae
Description: processed transcript
Source: RNAcentral